RNAcentral lists this ribosomal RNA (460 nucleotides) under uncultured bacterium. Its description in RNAcentral is "partial 16S ribosomal RNA". It matches the Rfam family "Bacterial small subunit ribosomal RNA", at positions 338 to 795 of the family's 1533-position model. The record is from RNAcentral.
CCUACGGGGUGCAGCAGUGAGGAAUAUUGGUCAAUGGGCGAGAGCCUGAACCAGCCAAGUCGCGUGAAGGAUGACGGCCCUACGGGUUGUAAACUUCUUUUGUCAGGGAGCAAUUGGGUCCACGCGUGGGCUUAGCGAGAGUACCUGAAGAAAAAGCAUCGGCUAACUCCGUGCCAGCAGCCGCGGUAAUACGGAGGAUGCGAGCGUUAUCCGGAUUUAUUGGGUUUAAAGGGUGCGUAGGCGGAAUAUCAAGUCAGCGGUAAAAAUUCGGGGCUCAACCCCGUCGUGCCGUUGAAACUGAUGGUCUUGAGUGGGCGGGAAGUAUGCGGAAUGCGUGGUGUAGCGGUGAAAUGCAUAGAUAUCACGCAGAACUCCGAUUGCGAAGGCAGCAUACCGGCGCCCAACUGACGCUGAAGCACGAAAGCGUGGGUAUCGAACAGGAUUAGAUACCCGGGUAGUC